Molecule: ribosomal RNA, 482 nt
Filed under: uncultured bacterium
Lineage: Bacteria
Description: bacterial SSU rRNA
Rfam family: Bacterial small subunit ribosomal RNA
Source: RNAcentral
UUGAACGCUGGCGGAAUGCUUUACACAUGCAAGUCGAGCGGCAGCGCGGGGGCAACCCUGGCGGCGAGCGGCGAACGGGUGAGUAAUGUAUCGGAACGUACCCUGUCGUGGGGGAUAACACAGCGAAAGCUGUGCUAAUACCGCAUACGACCUGAGGAUGAAAGCAGGGGACCCUCGGGCCUUGCGCGAACGGAGCGGCCGAUGGCCGAUUAGGUAGUUGGUGGGAUAAAAGCUUACCAAGCCGACGAUCUGUAGCUGGUCUGAGAGGACGACCAGCCACACUGGGACUGAGACACGGCCCAGACUCCUACGGGAGGCAGCAGUGGGGAAUUUUGGACAAUGGGCGAAAGCCUGAUCCAGCAAUGCCGCGUGCAGGAUGAAGGCCUGCGGGUUGUAAACUGCUUUUGUACGGAACGAAAAGUCUCGGGAUAAUACACUGGGACCAUGACGGUACCGUAAGAAUAAGCACCGGCUAACUACGU